This 254-nucleotide ribosomal RNA is filed under the name uncultured bacterium. Its description in RNAcentral is "partial 16S ribosomal RNA". It matches the Rfam family "Bacterial small subunit ribosomal RNA", at positions 524 to 776 of the family's 1533-position model. The record is from RNAcentral.
UACAGAGGUCCCAAGCGUUGUUCGGAUUCACUGGGCGUAAAGGGUGCGUAGGUGGCUUGGUAAGUUCGAUGUGAAAUCUCCGGGCUUAACCCGGAAAUGGCAUUGAAUACUAUUGAGCUGGAGGUUUGGAGGGGGGACUGGAAUUCUCGGUGUAGCAGUGAAAUGCGUAGAUAUCGAGAGGAACAGCCAGUGGCGAAGGCGAGUCCCUGGACAACACCUGACACUGAGGCACGAAAGCUAGGGGAGCAAACAGG